Long non-coding RNA from Panicum virgatum (switchgrass), 295 nucleotides. RefSeq lists it as uncharacterized. The transcript is spliced from 2 exons. The record is from RefSeq and is a predicted model, not a curated record. NCBI's taxonomy places the organism in Eukaryota, Viridiplantae, Streptophyta, Magnoliopsida, Poales, Poaceae.
GUAGGGAAAAGGCUGCCUAUGGAAAGGUACCUUGCUGAAAUCUAGAAGGGUAGCAAAUCGAUAGUUGUGGGCACUUUGCAGCAAGUUAGCUUUCCUCAUUACUGAAUCAGGUAAAAGGACACAAUAUACUAGCCUUUCAUUGAGUAGGCUGGUCUCAUUUUUUUAAUCUUCAGUUAGAGUGGGUUGAUCUUAAGUAGUUUUGUUCUGAGCUAAACUGAACUCCUGUAUGAUUCGUGUGCACAUUUUAUUGAUUGUUGGGUUCAAGAAUUUACAAAAAGACAAUUUAGGAUCAAAA